AAGCUCUUUUGUAGGGGAAGAGGAAGGACGGUACCCUAAGAAGAAGCGUCGGCUAACUACGUGCCAGCAGCCGCGGUAAGACGUAUGACGCGAGCGUUAUCCGGAAUUACUGGGCGUUAAGGGCCAGCAGGCGGCUUGGUAAGUUGUGCGUGAAAGCCUCGUGCUCAACGCGAGGAAGCCGGACAAUACUGUCAAGCUAGAGGGCAUCAGAGGGGAGUGGAAUUCCCGGAGUAGCGGUAAAAUGCGCAGAUAUCGGGAGGAACACCGAUGGCGAAGGCAGCUCCCUGGGAUGCACCUGACGCUAAGAGGCGAAAGCUAGGGGAGCGAACAGGAUUAGAGACCCUGGUAGUCCUAGCUGUAAACGCUGGGUGCUAGGUGUGGGACGUAGAAGUUCCGUGCCGGAGCAAACGCGAUAAGCACCCCGCCUGGGAAUUACGGUCGCAAGGCUAAAACUCAAACGAAUUGACGGGGCCCCGCACAAGCAGCGGAGCGUGUGGUUCAAUUCGAUGCUACACGAAGAACCUUACCUGGGUUUGACAUGUACGUGGUACGAAGGCGAAAGCCUAAGGACCCUUCGGGGAGCGUACACAGGUGCUGCAUGGCUGUCGUCAGCUCGUGCCGUGAGGUGUCGGGUUAAGUCCCGUAACGAGCGCAACCCUUGCCCUUAGUUACAAGUGUCUAAGGGGACUGCCGGCGGGAAGCCGGAGGAAGGUGGGGAUGACGUCAAGUCAGCAUGGCCCUUAUGUCCAGGGCUACACACACGCUACAAUGGUCAGUACAAAGGGUAGCGAAGUCGCGAGGCGGAGCGAAUCUCAACAAAGCUGAUCGUAGUUCGGAUUGCAGGCUGCAACCCGCCUGCAUGAAGCUGGAGUUGCUAGUAACCGCGCGUCAGCCAUAGUGCGGUGAAUACGUACCCAGGGCUUGUACACACCGCCCGUCACGUCAUGGGAGUCGGUAACGCCUGAAGCCGGUAGUCUGGCCCGCAAGGGGGGACGCUGUCGAAG
RNAcentral lists this ribosomal RNA (1004 nucleotides) under uncultured organism. Its description in RNAcentral is "bacterial SSU rRNA". It matches the Rfam family "Bacterial small subunit ribosomal RNA", at positions 428 to 1461 of the family's 1533-position model. The record is from RNAcentral.